GAUGAACGCUGGCGGCGUGCCUAAUACAUGCAAGUCGAGCGAACGGACGAGAAGCUUGCUUCUCUGAUGUUAGCGGCGGACGGGUGAGUAACACGUGGAUAACCUACCUAUAAGACUGGGAUAACUUCGGGAAACCGUAGCUAAUACCGGAUAAUAUUUUGAACCGCAUGGUUCAAAAGUGAAAGACGGUCUUGCUGUCACUUAUAGAUGGAUCCGCGCUGCAUUAGCUAGUUGGUAAGGUAACGGCUUACCAAGGCAACGAUGCAUAGCCGACCUGAGAGGGUGAUCGGCCACACUGGAACUGAGACACGGUCCAGACUCCUACGGGAGGCAGCAGUAGGGAAUCUGCCGCAAUGGGCGAAAGCCUGACGGAGCAACGCCGCGUGAGUGAUGAAGGUCUUCGGAUCGUAAAACUCUGUUAUGAGGGAAGAACAUAUGUGUAAGUAACUGUGCACAUCUUGACGGUACCUAAUCAGAAAGCCACGGCUAACUACGUG
RNAcentral lists this ribosomal RNA (497 nucleotides) under uncultured bacterium. RNAcentral's name for it is "partial 16S ribosomal RNA". It matches the Rfam family "Bacterial small subunit ribosomal RNA", at positions 28 to 507 of the family's 1533-position model. The record is from RNAcentral.